CCUACGGGAGGCAGCAGUGGGGAAUAUUGCACAAUGGGGGAAACCCUGAUGCAGCGACGCCGCGUGAGUGAAGAAGUAUUUCGGUAUGUUAAGCUCUAUCAGCCGGGAAGAAAAUGACGGUACCUGAUUAAGAAGCCCCGACUAACUACGUGCCAGCAGCCGCGGUCAUGCGUCAGGGGCACGCGUUAUCCGGAUUUACUGGGUGUAAAGGGAGCGUAGACGGCAGAACAAGUCUGGAGGGAAAUGCCGGGGCUUAACCCCGGAACUGCUUUGGAAACUGUGCAGCUAGAGUGCAGGAGAGGAAAGUGGAAUGCCUGGUGUAGCGGUGAAAUGCGUAGAGAUUAGGAGGAACACCAGUGGCGAAGGCGGCUUACUGGACUGUAACUGACGUUGAGGCUCGAAAGCGUGGGGAGCAAACAGGAUUAGAUACCCCGGUAGUC
RNAcentral lists this ribosomal RNA (440 nucleotides) under uncultured bacterium. RNAcentral describes it as "partial 16S ribosomal RNA". It matches the Rfam family "Bacterial small subunit ribosomal RNA", at positions 338 to 795 of the family's 1533-position model. The record is from RNAcentral.